RNAcentral lists this ribosomal RNA (157 nucleotides) under Vampyroteuthis infernalis. RNAcentral's name for it is "partial small subunit ribosomal RNA". The record is from RNAcentral. Lineage: Eukaryota; Metazoa; Mollusca; Cephalopoda; Vampyromorpha; Vampyroteuthidae.
UGCCGGUUUGUUCCGCGCCGGGGUCGGCUUCGCGGUCGGCUUCGCGUGGGCGACGGUCGGGUGGCGCGCUCACUUUUGGUGACUCUGGAUAACUCACUGGUCGAUCGCACGGGUUUCAGCCCGGCGACGGGUCCCCCGAGGGUCCGCCCUAUCAACU